ACGAGUGUGGUGCAGCGGUAGCAUACGGGUCUCCAAAACCUUUGACGGGAGUUCGAAUCUCUCCACUCGUGCAA
RNAcentral lists this transfer RNA (74 nucleotides) under Hymenobacter glacialis. Its description in RNAcentral is "tRNA-Trp". It matches the Rfam family "tRNA". From Rfam's summary of the family: Transfer RNA (tRNA) molecules are approximately 80 nucleotides in length. Their secondary structure includes four short double-helical elements and three loops (D, anti-codon, and T loops). Further hydrogen bonds mediate the characteristic L-shaped molecular structure. tRNAs have two regions of fundamental functional importance: the anti-codon, which is responsible for specific mRNA codon recognition, and the 3' end, to which the tRNAs corresponding amino acid is attached (by aminoacyl-tRNA synthetases). tRNAs cope with the degeneracy of the genetic code in two manners: having more than one tRNA (with a specific anti-codon) for a particular amino acid; and 'wobble' base-pairing, i.e. permitting non-standard base-pairing at the 3rd anti-codon position. RNAcentral also lists the same sequence under 1 other name. Lineage: Bacteria; Pseudomonadati; Bacteroidota; Cytophagia; Cytophagales; Hymenobacteraceae. The record is from RNAcentral.